RNAcentral lists this ribosomal RNA (1231 nucleotides) under uncultured Methanolobus sp. RNAcentral describes it as "bacterial SSU rRNA". It matches the Rfam family "Archaeal small subunit ribosomal RNA", at positions 189 to 1429 of the family's 1478-position model. Lineage: Archaea; Methanobacteriati; Methanobacteriota; Methanomicrobia; Methanosarcinales; Methanosarcinaceae. The record is from RNAcentral.
AAGUUCGGGCCUUUGGAAGGUUUUGGGGCUUUCCGUUCUUGUGGGGUUAAAGUCCCCUUUAGCCAACCCUGUUUACCGGUGUGUGAACCAGAGUCCCGAGAGGUAAUUUGGGACAGGUAUUCCAGUCCUUUGGGGGGUCGGCAGGGGGGAAACUUUACAAUGCGGCAAACCGCUAUAAAGAGACACUGAGUGCCAGCACCAUGUGCUGGCUGUCCGCAUGUAUAAAUCACAUUGUCAGCAAGGGCCGGGCAAGACCGGUGCCAGCCGCCGCUGUAACACCGGCGGGCCAAGUGGUGGCCAUUAUUAUUGGGUCUAAAGGGUCCGUAGCCAGUUUGAUCGGUCUUCCGGGAAAUCUGACAGCUCAUCUGUUAGGCUUCUGGCGGAUACUGUCAUACUUGUAACCGGCAGACGUAAGAGGUACUACAGGGGUAGGAUUGAAAUCUUGUAAUCCUUGUGGGACCACCAGUGGCGAACGCGUCUUACCACAACGGGUUCGACGGUGAGGGACAAAAGCUGGCGGCACUAACCGGAUUAUAUACCCGGGAACUCCCAGCCGUAAACGAUGCUCGCUAGGUGUCUAGAAUGGUGCGACCGUGUCAGGUGCGGCAGAGAAACCGUGAAGCGAGCCACCUGGGAAGUACGUCCGCAUGUCUGAAACUUAAAGGAAUCGACGUGGGAGCAGUACAACGGGUGGAGCGUGCGGUUUAAUUGGACUGAACGCCGGAAAACUCACCUGGGGCGACAGCAAUAUGUAGGUCAGGCUGAAGGUCUUACCUGAAUCGCUGAGAGGAGGUGCAUGGCCGUUGUCAGUUCGUCCUGUGAAGCAUCCUGUUAAGUCAGGCAACGAGCGAGACCUGUGCCCACGGUUGCCAGCAUAUCCUUCGGGAUGAUGGGUACUCUGUGGGGACCGCCGAUGCUAAAUAGGAGGAAGGUGCGGGCUACGGUUGUUCAGUAUGCUCUGAAUCUUCAGGGUUACACGCGGGGUACAAUGACCGGGACAAUGGGUCCCUACCCCGAAAGGGGUUCGUAAUCUCAUACACCCGUCUUUAGUUGGGAUGGGGGUCUGCAACUCGCCCUAGUGAAGCUGUGAAUCCGUAUGACUGCGUUUCAAUAUAGCUGCGGGAAUACGUCCGUGCUCCUGGCACACUCCGCCCGUCAAACCAGCCCGAUGAGCUAUGGGUGAGGGCACGGAUUCACUCCGUGUUCGUACCUAAAUUUUGCAAGGGGGGUU